AGUGCGAUCGGUGGAUGCCUUGGCACCAAGAGCCGAUGAAGGACGUUGUAACCUGCGAUAAGCCCUGGGGAGUUGGUAAACGAGCUGUGAUCCGGGGGUGUCCGAAUGGGGAAACCUGGAAUGUCCGGAGUAGUGUCCGGUGACCCUGCCCUGAAUGUAUAGGGGUGUGGGAGGUAACGCGGGGAAGUGAAACAUCUUAGUACCCGUAGGAAGAGAAAACAACCGUGAUUCCGUGAGUAGUGGCGAGCGAAAGUGGAUGAGGCUAAACCGUGUGUGUGUUCAAGCCGGCAGGUGUUGCAUGUGCGGGGUUGUGGGGGCCUUUUGGUUCUGCUGCCGCAGGAUUGGCCAGUGAUAAAUGUUGCGUGAAGGUGAAGCGUCUGGGAAGGCGUACCGGAGUGGGUGAGAGUCCCGUAACUGUAAGCGUGGCACUGGUGAGGGUUGCCCCAAGUAGCGUGGAACUCGUGGAAUUUCGCGUGAAUCUGGCGGGACCACCCGUCAAGCCUAAAUACUCCUUGGUGACCGAUAGUGUAUUAGUACCGUGAGGGAAUGGUGAAAAGUACCCCGGGAGGGGAGUGAAAUAGUACCUGAAACCGGUCGCAUACAAGCCGUCAGAGCCUUGUGGGGUGAUGGCGUGCCUUUUGAAGAAUGAGCCUGCGAGUUAGUGAUGCGUGGCGAGGUUAACCUGUGUGGGGGAGUCGUAGCGAAAGCGAGUCUGAUAAGGGCGUGAGUCGCGUGUUCUAGACCCGAAGCGGUGUGAUCUAUCCAUGGCCAGGAUGAAGCGUCGGUAAGACGUCGUGGAGGUCCGAACCCACUUCAGUUGAAAAUGGAGGGGAUGAGCUGUGGAUAGGGGUGAAAGGCCAAUCAAACACCGUGAUAGCUGGUUCUCCCCGAAAUGCAUUUAGGUGCAGCGUUGCGUGGUUCUUGUCGGAGGUAGAGCACUGGAUGGUCUAGGGGGCCUAUCAGCUUACCGAAAUCAGCCAAACUCCGAAUGCCGGCAAGUGGAGCGUAGCAGUGAGACGGCGGGGGAUAAGCUUCGUCGUCGAGAGGGAAACAGCCCAGAUCAUCAGCUAAGGCCCCUAAGUGGUAACUCAGUGGAAAAGGAUGUGGAGUUGCGUAGACAGCCAGGAGGUUGGCUUGGAAGCAGCCAUCCUUGAAAGAGUGCGUAAUAGCUCACUGGUCAAGUGAUUCCGCGCCGACAAUGUAGCGGGGCUUAAGUUAUCCGCCGAAGCUGUGGCAAACCCGUGAGGGUUUGGGUAGGGGAGCGUCCUGUGCGAGGUGAAGCUGCCGGGUGACCGUGUGGUGGAUUGUGCGGGAGUGAGAAUGCAGGCAUGAGUAGCGAAUGACGGGUGGAAAACCCGUCCGCCGAUUAUCCAAGGGUUCCAGGGUCAAGUUAAUCUGCCCUGGGUGAGUCGGGACCUAAGGCGAGGCCGACAGGCGUAGUCGAUGGACAACCAGUUGAUAUUCUGGUACCGGCUUGUCACCGUCCGUGUCGAGGUGUGUGAUGCUAAGCGUGCGAGCCUGCCAUUGUGAUGUCUUUGAUGUUGUGGUGGUGUGGUGAGUGUGUGAACCGAUCAUGUAGUAGGCAAGCUGCGGAGGGACGCAGGGAGGUAGCUCAUCCCCGGCGAUGGUUGUCCGGGGCUAAAUGUGUGGACCGUCUGGUAGGUAAAUCCGCCAGGGUUGUGGUUGAGGCAUGAUGGCGAGCCCACGGAAAGUGGGUGAGUGAGUGAUCCUGUACUGUCGAGAAAAGCUUCGUGAGCGAGGUGGCUGGUCCGCCCGUACCCUAAACCGACACUGGUGGAUAGGUAGAGUAUACCGAGGCGAUCGAGAUCAUCAUGGUGAAGGAACUCGGCAAAAUGCCCCCGUAACUUCGGGAUAAGGGGGACCUGAACUGUCAAGGCCUGUACGGCUGGUAGCAGUGAGGGGCGCAGAGACCAGGGGGAAACGACUGUUUACCAAAAACACAGGUCCGUGCGAAGUCGUAAGACGAUGUAUACGGACUGACUCCUGCCCGGUGCUGGAAGGUUAAGGGGAACUGUUAGCGUUGGCGAAGCGGUGAACUUAAGCCCCAGUAAACGGCGGUGGUAACUAUAACCAUCCUAAGGUAGCGAAAUUCCUUGUCGGGUAAGUUCCGACCUGCACGAAUGGAGUAACGAUUUCCCUACUGUCUCCACCAUGAACUCGGUGAAAUUGCAGUACGAGUAAAGAUGCUCGUUACGCGCAGCAGGACGGAAAGACCCCGGGACCUUUACUAUAGUUUGGUAUUGGUGAUUGGGACGACUUGUGUAGGAUAGGUGGGAGACUGUGAAGUGGCCACGCUAGUGGUUGUGGAGUCAUUGUUGAAAUACCACUCUGGUCGUUCUGGUUAUCUAACUUUGGGCCGUGAUCCGGUUCAGGGACAGUGCCUGAUGGGUAGUUUGACUGGGGCGGUCGCCCCCUAAA
Molecule: ribosomal RNA, 2439 nt
Filed under: human gut metagenome
Description: bacterial LSU rRNA
Rfam family: Bacterial large subunit ribosomal RNA
Source: RNAcentral